RNAcentral lists this long non-coding RNA (344 nucleotides) under Androctonus crassicauda. Lineage: Eukaryota; Metazoa; Arthropoda; Arachnida; Scorpiones; Buthidae. The record is from RNAcentral.
UAUAGUCUCCCUUGGCCACUGAUGGCGAAAGCAGCACCAACCCAAGUUCUGGCUACUGCAAUACACAUACCAAGAGUAGGGAAUGGAUCACCACAUCAGACCCCAACCAUCCAAAGUGUUUGUUUCUCAACCAACUCAGCUAGAGACCACACCAUGACUGGAAAACCAUGCCAAUGCAUGAAAUGGACAAAAGACAUGAAUAAAUUUAUCAUAUGUAUAUAUUACACAAUUAGAAAUUGAUACUACAGGGUACAGAUGGAACUCUAUGACAAAUUCACAAACAAAUACCCAAACAUCACAGUUACAGAACAACACAUAGUAGAUCAAAGAAGAAUCAUCAUCCA